RNAcentral lists this microRNA precursor (118 nucleotides) under Haemonchus contortus (barber pole worm). RNAcentral describes it as "microRNA hco-mir-5961 precursor". The record is from miRBase by way of RNAcentral. Lineage: Eukaryota; Metazoa; Nematoda; Chromadorea; Rhabditida; Trichostrongylidae.
UUCGUCACUGAUUCUAGUUGGUUGUUCCACGAACUACGCAUUUCUGAUGUCUGCCGUUAUGGGAUCCCAUAUCGGCUGAUCGUGAAACUGCGUUCAGGAGUACCGAGAAUGGGUGACC